GAUGAACGCUAGCGGGAGGCCUAACACAUGCAAGCUGAGCGGUAUUGUUUCUUCGGAAACGAGAGAGCGGCGUACGGGUGCGGAACACGUGUGCAACCUGCCUUUAUCAGGGGGAUAGCCUUUCGAAAGGAAGAUUAAUACUCCAUAAUAUAAUAGAUGGCAUCAUUUAUUAUUGAAAACUCCGGUGGAUAGAGAUGGGCACGCGCAAGAUUAGAUAGUUGGUGAGGUAACGGCUCACCAAGUCGAUGAUCUUUAGGGGGCCUGAGAGGGUGAUCCCCCACACUGGUACUGAGACACGGACCAGACUCCUACGGGAGGCAGCAGUGAGGAAUAUUGGACAAUGGGUUAGCGCCUGAUCCAGCCAUCCCGCGUGAAGGACGACGGCCCUAUGGGUUGUAAACUUCUUUUGUACAGGGAUAAACCUAUCUACGUGUAGAUAGCUGAAGGUACUGUACGAAUAAGCACCGGCUAACUCCGUGCCAGCCGCCGCCGUAA
This 495-nucleotide ribosomal RNA is filed under the name uncultured bacterium. Its description in RNAcentral is "partial 16S ribosomal RNA". It matches the Rfam family "Bacterial small subunit ribosomal RNA", at positions 28 to 523 of the family's 1533-position model. The record is from RNAcentral.